AUAUAGGUCAGCUAAUGAAAGCUAAUGGGCUCAUAUCUCAUAAAUGAAGUUAAUUAUUUCUCCUUCCUUUUGUU
This 74-nucleotide transfer RNA is filed under the name Pisaura mirabilis. RNAcentral's name for it is "tRNA-Met". Lineage: Eukaryota; Metazoa; Arthropoda; Arachnida; Araneae; Pisauridae. The record is from RNAcentral.